Molecule: ribosomal RNA, 484 nt
Filed under: uncultured bacterium
Lineage: Bacteria
Description: partial 16S ribosomal RNA
Rfam family: Bacterial small subunit ribosomal RNA
Source: RNAcentral
AUUGAACGCUGGCGGCAGGCCUAACACAUGCAAGUCGAGCGGAUGAAGGGAGCUUGCUCCUGGAUUCAGCGGCGGACGGGUGAGUAAUGCCUAGGAAUCUGCCUGGUAGUGGGGGAUAACGUCCGGACACGGGCGCUAAUACCGCAUACGUCCUGAGGGAGAAAGUGGGGGAUCUUCGGACCUCACGCUAUCAGAUGAGCCUAGGUCGGAUUAGCUAGUUGGUGGGGUAAAGGCCUACCAAGGCGACGAUCCGUAACUGGCCUGAGAGGAUGAUCAGUCACACUGGAACUGAGACACGGUCCAGACUCCUACGGGAGGCAGCAGUAGGGAAUCUUGGGCAAUGGGCGAAAGCCUGACCCAGCCAUGCCGCGUGUGUGAAGAAGGUCUUCGGAUUGUAAAGCUCUUUAAGUUGGGAAGAACGACAGUAAGUUAAUACCUGGCUGUCUUGACGUUACCAACAGAAUAAGCCCCGGCUAACUUCGUG